Molecule: long non-coding RNA, 4209 nt
Filed under: Gossypium raimondii (Peruvian cotton)
Lineage: Eukaryota; Viridiplantae; Streptophyta; Magnoliopsida; Malvales; Malvaceae
Description: long non-coding RNA (GRAI_LNC006809)
Source: RNAcentral
CCUUGACCAAGACACCUGUGCUUACGCGGUGGCGUCCACAGGCAAGCGCUGUGUGCUCGAGAAGCACGUCAAGAGGAGCGGUGAAGAAGAAUACACUUGCCGUACCUCCGAGAUCGAAGCCGAUAAGAUCAACAACUGGAUCGAAACUGAUCAGUGCGUUAAAUCGUGCGGCCUCGACCGGAAAUCAUUCGGUAUCUCCUCCGAUUCCCUCCUCGAGUCUCGCUUCACCGAAAUGCUUUGCUCUCCUCAAUGCUACAACGGUUGCCCCAACAUCAUCGAUCUUUACUUCAACCUCGCCGCCGGAGAAGGUAACAUUUUAGUUUUAGCGUUAAAUAACAACUCGAAUACGAGACCCAACAUAACCGUGUCUUGUCUUUGGCAGGUAUUUUUCUUCCGAAAUUAUGUGAAGCACAAAAAGGAAACAUACGUAGAGGAAUGUCGGAGAUUCGGAGCUCCGGUAUGGUUGCCCCGGGACCCGUCGGCGGUGUGAAGUUUUGGGGAGUUGCUCCGGCAAUGGCCCCAUACUAAAAGCUUUCGGGAAAUUUUCAUAAAGUUGUAGUAAUUUUGAAAUAAAGGGAAAGUUGCACUAUAGCUAAGGGUUUUUCUUAAAGCCGGGUUCUUUAAGUGCAUGAACCGGCGUAUAAUUUGGUUCGUGCAUGAUUUUGAGCCAUGAGCUUGGUGUGUUCAACCCAAUAAGAUGCCACUUUCUAUUAAAUAGGUUUGCUUAUUGUAAUGGGUGUGAAAAAGAAACAAUGUUAUGAAAUUUAUAAAAGUAUACUUAUAUUUGUGUGAUUUAUUCUAAAUUUGCAACCUUUCUUUGUGUUAAUAUUAUGGGAUGGAAAAUGAUCCAAAAAAAUGAAAAUCAUAUUUACCUCCUGAGUUUGUUUUUUUUUUUUCCUUCAAAUAACGCCGUGCAUUGUGGUUUAAACCCUCCCAAAAGCACAACGCUGCCUAUUUUUCUUCAAAUUUUGACUGCCAAAAGAAUAAUUGUGCUCCAUAAUCGAGGAAUCAACUAUUUGAUAUAUUUAUUUCAAAGCCCCAGUUUAUUGCUUUGUUGCAAAUCAUAAUAUAACAACCCGUUUUUUAGUGGUGUCCGAAACAGUAGUUUCGGGGCCAUCAAGUUCGACGAGUAAGUUCGUAAAUAUUAUUAUUUAAUAUUUACGAGUUAAAUGUGAUUUUUAAAAAGGUUUUUGAUUUGAUAAUUUAUGUUAUAUAAGUGAUUUAUUAAGUCCAAAUGGUUUUAGAAAAUAAGGUACCGGGACUUUGUUUUUAUAAAUUGAGCCAUAAAUAUUUUUAUAAAUAUUUACGGAAUGUCAUUAAGGUAAUAUUAAAGCUCCGUUAAGAAAUUUUGAGAUGGCAAUUCCAACAAUUUAUUCCACACAUUAUUUUGGGAAAGAAAACGUAAAAGACAAUUAUUUAGAGAAGUAACACCUAAUUUGAGAAAUAAAGAUCAUUUGAAAAAUCAAAGUCUUUAUAAUAAACAACUCAUGGAUUUUGGGGUUAAGCUCCAACCGUCCGAUAAUUCCCAAAUUAUUAAGACUUUAAAAAAAAUGAAACUUUGGGAAAAAAAUAAAAAUAUCUUUCAUUUAAAAUUUUUCUAAGAAUUGUACAUCAUUAAUUUAAAUUAAUUUAAAAUUUAACAAUGAUAAAAUUAAAUAAAAUAAACCAUAAAAUUAUUACAUAAUUUAACAUAUGGAAAUAAUGAAAAUACUGAUUCGAAAUAAGGAAUUCGGAUGAUUAACUUGCAAAUCAAUUAAAUCGAUUUUUAUGUUUUUUAAUAAUUUAUUCUAUUAAAUUGAAAAAAAUAAUUAACUUAAAAAUCGAUAAUUUAACGGAGCUGAUUGAAAUUUUGAAAACCUUAAUUUUUUAUUUUUUAUUUAUAAAUUACAGUGUUCCCAAAAGUUUGGGUGAAAGGGUCCCAAAGUACGUUUGAUCACUCCUUUCCUUUUUCUUUUGGGUCAAAAUGUUGUCUUAAAAUUCGGUGCAAAAGCCCAUGAAUUUACUCCAUAAUCGUGGGGAGUGGGAACUACAAUGGUCAAAACAAUAACCGUCUUGAAGAGAAACAUACGUACAAUUUUUGCCGUAAUUGACGCUCUGUCAAACAAAUUUCCACAUCUUGGAAAUGUAUUUAGCAGCCCGUCCUAACAAAAAUUCUGAUAGUGAAAUAUUUAGUACUUAAACUUUGUUAAUUUUUUUAUUUUGGUCUUUGAACUUUCUUUUAUUCAUAUUAGAAUAGUUUUUGAAUUUGAAUUCGGUUAAAAUAUGACAAUGUGACCCUCUGAAAUAAUUUCUUUAUAUUUUUGUGUUUUUUUAGAUUUGAUAUAUUUUUAAAAGUUUAAAAUUUUGCCGAGCUCAAUAAGAGAUUUGUUGAUUGAUGAUCGUAAUGGCUCUAAAUCAGUUUAAUAUAAAUUAGUUGAUAUAAUUGUUUUGUGAUGUAUUUUUUAUGUAAAAAAAAUAUUAUUUUGAUAGAAUAUAAAAUGGUUUAUAUGUACUCAUUGAUGCUAUAUAUUAUAGAAUGUUAAUUAAUAAAUGAUAAGUUAUCACCUCAUUCUGAAGAAAAUCUAAAAGUUGUUUAUUUUCAGAAUGAUGAGGAUAUCAUCCAAAAUUCUUUAGAUUAUUUUUUAUUUUUUAAUUUAUAAUUAUUUUUUAAUAAUUGGGUUCAGGGUAAAAUCGUUUUUACCUUGUCUGACUUUCCAUUUCAUUAUGAUUUUUAUAUUAUUUUUUUUAUAAAUAAUCUUACUUAAACUCUUUUAAAUAUUAUUUUUAUUUUUCAUAUUAUUUAAUUAAAUAUUUAUGAUAAAAAAGUUAUAUGACAAAUAUUUAUGAUACACCCGUGAUGUAAGUGAAAAAAAUUCAAGUAAUAAUUAUAUUUAUAAAACAUUAUAAUAAAAUAAAUUAAUUAAAAUGAUAAAAUUAAAGUUUUGAAAGAUAUAUCUUAAGUUUAAAUCGCAUAAUAUUUAUUUCUUUUUCUAGAUUUAUAUAAAAAUAUUAAAAAUAAAAACUUCUCACAAUAACAUUUCUUAAAAAGAAUUGCAUGUAUAUGGCGUGUUUGCAUUUGAAAGGUUGGCAUAAAAGGAGGCAGGAAAAUUGCCGUAAUUGGAUGCAUUGUUAAUGGUUUUUCUACAUGCAUAAAAUCUAAACGGGUUUAGAAUAUACUUUGUUAUAUAUAGAUUAUACUUAAGAAAUUAUUAAUUAUGUAUUAAAUAUGUUUAUAAAAAAAUAAUUUAGAUUUUGAAAUGUUAAAAAUCAUAAAUUUUUCAUUUUUAAGAUUUAUUUUAAAUUUAAAUUGAAUUUUAAUAACUUUUAUAUAAAAAUAUAAAAACACUUUCAAAUAAUAUUUUUUUACUUUUUCUGAAAUAAUUUUUUUAGAAUGAUUUAUUAGUCGAUUAAGUUUGUGACGUCACAUUACAUAUAAAAUCCAAUGCUACAUAAAUAUCAUGUUUAAAGUUUAAACACGUGUAAAAGAAAUCUGCUUCUUUGCUUACGACCUGCCAAGCGGGGGUCACUAACUUCAUAGUUACGAAGGAAUUCCAAAUAACGACCUUUUACUGUCACUGAACAUUAAAGUAAGGUUCGUGUCAAUUUCUAACUCGAAAAAUCAACCAUGUGAGUUGAUUUUUCAACUCUCCACUGCCAAACCCCCCAAAUAAACCCACUAUAAAACACCCUUUUCUCAACCCCUUCCCCCCAUCAAUCUUGCCAUACCUGUUAAUAAACACAACAAAAAUCUCAGCUAGCUAGCUUUUCCCCUCCAUUAAAAUCCAUGGCUUCCACCAUUAGCAGGAAGAUGACCUUGGCUAUCCUUGCUCUGGCAUUAUUCUCCUAUUGCUUACAAGCCACACUAGGUUAAUUUGCAUUAUUUGUUACGUUAAAUAGCAUUGAUUUAAGCCUUUUAAGAUUAUAACUAUAUGCGUGUGUGUGUGUGUUUUGUUGUAGGGGAAAUAAUAUGUGAACACCUUGACCAAGACACCUGUGCUUACGCGGUGGCGUCCACAGGCAAGCGCUGUGUGCUCGAGAAGCACGUCAAGAGGAGCGGUGAAGAAGAAUACACUUGCCGUACCUCCGAGAUCGAAGCCGAUAAGAUCAACAACUGGAUCGAAACUGAUCAGUGCGUUAAAUCGUGCGGCCUCGACCGGAAAUCAUUCGGUAUCUCCUCCGAUUCCCUCCUCGAGUCUCGCUUCACCGAAAUGCUUUGCUCUCCUCAAUGCU